GGCUCAGUGGUCCAGUACCCCUGAGUUCAAUCCCCAGUACCAAAAACAAAGGGCUGGGGAUGUAGCUCAGUAGUAGGGUACCUGCCUAGAGUGUGUGAGGACCUGGAUUAAAUUCUGCCUCUGCACCCCCCAAAAAAAAUCACAAAGAGUGUUACCAACCAGGCAUUAUGGCAUGUCAUUAUGGCACAUGCCUGUGAUGUCAGCUACUCUUGAAGCUAAGACAGGAGGAUUGCAAGUUUGAGGUCAUGCAUGGGUAACUAAGGGCUGGGGAUGUAGGUUAGUGGGAGAGUGCCCCUGGGUUCAAUUCCAGUACUGGGGGCAGCCGGGGAGUUACUAGACUCAUGAUUUAUGGACAUUUCCAUUCUGUUUACACUUUUUUUUUUUUUUCUGGUACUGGGGAUUGAAUCCAAAGGUUUUAACCACUGAGCCUGAUUCCCAGCCCUUUUUUUAAAUAUAUAUAUUUUUAAAGUUUAAUCUUAAACUGGGAGCAUUUUUUUUUUAGUUGUAGAUAGACAUAAUGCCUUUAUUUUAUUUGUGUAUUUUUAUGUGGUGCUGAGGAUCAAACCCAGUGCCUCACGCAUGCUAGGCAAGCACUCUGCCAUUGAGCUACAGCCCCAGCCCUAUAUUUUAUUUUGAGACAGGAUCUCAUUAAGUUGUUCAGGGCCUCACUAAGUUGCCAAGUCUGGCUUUGAACUCAUGAUCUUCCUGCCUCUGCCUCCGGAGCUGUUGAAAUUAUAGGCAUGUGCUACCAUGCCUGGUUUACACUUUUCUUUUUUUACUUUGUAACUGGGUCUCUGGACUGGAACUUUCCAUCAUGUAUCUAUGUCACAAAUCCUGUGGACUGUUUGGCUUUGGCUGCCUAGAACAUAGCGAUUAUGGAGAGAGAACAUAUUGUAUGUCAAAAUUAUCUUGUACUAUCUCAGGCCCUUUAGAAAAAUAGCCAUUUUAUUUUUUUAUUAUUAUUAUUUUUGUAGAUGGACACAAUACCUUUACUUUAUUUAUGUGGUGCUGAGGAACAAACCCAGUGCCCCACGUAUGAGAGGCAAGUGCUCUACCACUGAGCCACAACCCCAACCCUUAUUUUUUAAACUUUUUUUUUUUUUUAGUUGCAGAUGGACACCAUGCCUUUAUUUUAUUUAUUUAUUUUUAUAUGGUACUGAGGAUCAAACCCAGUGCCUCACACAUGCUAGGCAAAUGCUUUGCCACAGAGCUACAACCCCAGCCCGCUGUCUUUUAACCUUUGUAUCUGACUUAAC
Molecule: long non-coding RNA, 1256 nt
Filed under: Marmota monax (woodchuck)
Lineage: Eukaryota; Metazoa; Chordata; Mammalia; Rodentia; Sciuridae
Source: RNAcentral